CAAGUCGAGCGAGAAAUCUUGGAUUGACGCUUCGGUUGAUGUCCAAGAUGGAAAGCGGCGAAAGGGUGAGUAACGCGUAGUUACGUACCCCGGGGUCCGGAAUAGCUGCGGGAAACUGCAGGUAAUGCCGGAUAAUGUUUCCGAACCAAAGGUGAGAUUCCGCCCUGGGAGCGGACUGCGUCCUACUAGCUUGUUGGUGGGGUAACGGCCUACCAAGGCAACGAUGGGUAGCGGGCGUGAGAGCGUGGCCCGCCACACUGGGACUGAGACACUGCCCAGACACCUACGGGUGGCUGCAGUCGAGAAUCUUCGGCAAUGCGCGCAAGCGUGACCGAGCGACGCCGCGUGCGGGAUGAAGGCCUUCGGGUUGUAAACCGCGGUCGGAGGGGAGGAAAUCUGCAGGGGCUAUCCCCUGCAGUUGACCUAUCCUCGACGAAGGACGGGCUAAGUUCGUGCCAGCAGCCGCGGUAAUACGAACCGUCCAAACGUUAUUCGGAAUCAUUGGGCUUAAAGGGUGCGUAGGCGGUGCAGUCAGUCGGGUGUGAAAUCCCUCGGCUCAACCGAGGAACUGCGCCCGAUACUGCUGUGCUUGAGGGAGACAGAGGUGAGCGGAACUGAUGGUGGAGCGGUGAAAUGCGUUGAUAUCAUCAGAACACCAGUGGCGAAAGCGGC
This 672-nucleotide ribosomal RNA is filed under the name uncultured Planctomycetota bacterium. RNAcentral describes it as "bacterial SSU rRNA". It matches the Rfam family "Bacterial small subunit ribosomal RNA", at positions 58 to 725 of the family's 1533-position model. Lineage: Bacteria; Pseudomonadati; Planctomycetota. The record is from RNAcentral.